Molecule: unclassified non-coding RNA, 238 nt
Filed under: Funneliformis caledonium
Lineage: Eukaryota; Fungi; Glomeromycota; Glomeromycetes; Glomerales; Glomeraceae
Description: partial internal transcribed spacer 2
Source: RNAcentral
AGAACAAAAAUCGAAGCGUCGCUAUUUAUGAAAUAUUAUUAUAUUUUGUUUGGUUGAUCGCGUCGGAAUUGAGCCGUCUUUCAUAUGUUAAUUCAUGUCAAAGUGGCUUAAAAUUCAUCAAUCUGGUACGAUUUAAAGCGUAUUUAAGAUCAACCUUGAUUAAGAACGCGCGAUGACGUAUCAUCUCAUGUAGUACGUUCGACCUGCUUGUCAGACUCAUUCGUAUACGACACUCAAC